This 20-nucleotide small RNA is filed under the name Arabidopsis thaliana (thale cress). RNAcentral's name for it is "ATSL005240". Lineage: Eukaryota; Viridiplantae; Streptophyta; Magnoliopsida; Brassicales; Brassicaceae. The record is from RNAcentral.
AAAGAGAAGAGAAAUAGAAA